AUUGAACGCUGGCGGCAUGCUUUACACAUGCAAGUCGAACGGUAACAGGUUAAGCUGACGAGUGGCGAACGGGUGAGUAAUGCAUCGGAACGUGCCCGAUCGUGGGGGAUAACGCAGCGAAAGCUGCGCUAAUACCGCAUACGAUCUGAGGAUGAAAGCGGGGGACCGUAAGGCCUCGCGCGAUCGGAGCGGCCGAUGUCAGAUUAGGUAGUUGGUGGGGUAAAGGCUCACCAAGCCAACGAUCUGUAGCUGGUCUGAGAGGACGACCAGCCACACUGGGACUGAGACACGGCCCAGACGCGUACGGGAGGCAGCGGUGGGGAAUUUUGGAAAAUGGGCGAAAGCCUGAUCCAGAAAUGCCGCGUGCAGGAAGAAGGCCUUCGGGUUGUAAACUGCUUUUGCACGGAGCGAAAAGGCCCUCUCUAAUACAGUGGGCUCAUGACGGUACCGUAAGAAUAAGCACCGGCUAACUACGUGCCAGCAGCCGCCGUAA
This 493-nucleotide ribosomal RNA is filed under the name uncultured bacterium. RNAcentral's name for it is "partial 16S ribosomal RNA". It matches the Rfam family "Bacterial small subunit ribosomal RNA", at positions 29 to 523 of the family's 1533-position model. The record is from RNAcentral.